Molecule: ribosomal RNA, 628 nt
Filed under: uncultured bacterium
Lineage: Bacteria
Description: bacterial SSU rRNA
Rfam family: Bacterial small subunit ribosomal RNA
Source: RNAcentral
GAUGAACGCUAGCUACAGGCUUAACACAUGCAAGUCGAGGGGCAUCAGGAAGAAAGCUUGCUUUCUUUGCUGGCGACCGGCGCACGGGUGAGUAACACGUAUCCAACCUGCCCUUUACUCGGGGAUAGCCUUUCGAAAGAAAGAUUAAUACCCGAUGGUAUAAUUAUUCCGCAUGGUUUGAUUAUUAAAGGAUUCCGGUAAAGGAUGGGGAUGCGUUCCAUUAGGUUGUUGGUGAGGUAACGGCUCACCAAGCCUUCGAUGGAUAGGAGUUCUGAGAGGAAGGUCCCCCACAUUGGAACUGAGACACGGUCCAAACUCCUACGGGAGGCAGCAGUGAGGAAUAUUGGUCAAUGGGCGCGAGCCUGAACCAGCCAAGUAGCGUGAAGGAUGACUGCCCUAUGGGUUGUAAACUUCUUUUAUAUUAGAAUAAAGUGCAGUAUGUAUACUGUUUUGUAUGUAUAAUAUGAAUAAGGAUCGGCUAACUCCGUGCCAGCAGCCGCGGUAAUACGGAGGAUCCGAGCGUUAUCCGGAUUUAUUGGGUUUAAAGGGAGCGUAGGUGGACUGGUAAGUCAGUUGUGAAAGUUUGCGGCUCAACCGUAAAAUUGCAGUUGAUACUGUCAGUCUUGAA